This 440-nucleotide ribosomal RNA is filed under the name uncultured bacterium. RNAcentral describes it as "partial 16S ribosomal RNA". It matches the Rfam family "Bacterial small subunit ribosomal RNA", at positions 338 to 795 of the family's 1533-position model. The record is from RNAcentral.
CCUACGGGUGGCUGCAGUGGGGAAUAUUGGUCAAUGGGGGAAACCCUAAUCCAGCGACGCCGCGUGAGGGAUGAAGUUUUUCGGGUUGUAAACCCCUUUUAUUAGGGAAGAUAAUGACGGUACCUGACGAAUAAGCCCCGGCUAACUACGUGCCAGCAGCCGCGGUAAUACGGAGGGUGCAAGCGUUACUCGGAUUCACUGGGCGUAAAGGGCGCGUAGGUGGGAUGGCAAGUCAGAUGUGAAAUCCCAUGGCUCAACCAUAGAACUGCAUUUGAAACUGUCAGUCUGGAGUAUAGGAGAGGUAGGUGGAAUUCUUGGUGUAGCGGUGAAAUGCGUAGAGAUCAAGAGGAACACUCAUUGCGAAGGCGACUUACUGGACUGUAACUGACACUGAGGCGCGAAAGCGUGGGGAGCAAACAGGAUUAGAUACCCGAGUAGUC